GAUUCUUAAGCUUGUGGUAGUUCUUCGGAUAGUUGAAGCAAGACACCGAGGUUAGACUAUGCAUAGCUGCAACCUUUGUCGCAGGCAACAACAGCUUUGCAUCAAGGGAAGCCAAACAUAUCGAAAAAGCCUGGUACAUACUCAACAACAGCAAGAGGCUGCUUUGAAUUUGGUUGAUUACUUUUGGAUUUGGAAUUAGGACAAUGUUUCUGAUCCCAAAUGUUGUAUUUUGAGCCGGUGAGGUUCGUUGUUACUGUCCCGAGGAAAGUUUCGUCGGAAUAAAAGAGCUAUGGUUGAUUUGCUGCUACUAUGCAUGUUGAUCCGUCAUGAAAGUUUUGCAGGUUUGAGGUUUUGGCCAGGUGACAUGGUGGACCAGGAAC
Long non-coding RNA from Lathyrus oleraceus (garden pea), 380 nucleotides. RefSeq lists it as uncharacterized. The record is from RefSeq and is a predicted model, not a curated record. The transcript has 3 exons. NCBI's taxonomy places the organism in Eukaryota, Viridiplantae, Streptophyta, Magnoliopsida, Fabales, Fabaceae.